RNAcentral lists this ribosomal RNA (251 nucleotides) under uncultured bacterium. RNAcentral's name for it is "partial 16S ribosomal RNA". It matches the Rfam family "Bacterial small subunit ribosomal RNA", at positions 524 to 776 of the family's 1533-position model. The record is from RNAcentral.
UACGAAGGGGCUAGCGUUGCUCGGAAUCACUGGGCGUAAAGGGUGCGUAGGCGGGUCUUUAAGUCAGGGUGAAAUCCUGGAGCUCAACUCCAGAACUGCCUUUGAUACUGAGGAUCUUGAGUUCGGGAGAGGUGAGUGGAACUGCGAGUGUAGAGGUGAAAUUCGUAGAUAUUCGCAAGAACACCAGUGGCGAAGGCGGCUCACUGGCCCGAUACUGACGCUGAGGCACGAAAGCGUGGGGAGCAAACAGG